AUUAUAAAUAUGAACAACAACAACAACAAAGUCAUUGGGGACAGCUUAUGCAAUCUUUUUGCAGGUUGGGGCUGCUUUCCACAUCGUAUUCUUUGUGUUUAUAAUUUCUUGGCAAAUUUGUUUUUGAGAAAAGAGAAAAUAAUAAGUAUUUGGAGUGAUCCCUGAUGUUGCAUUGCAUAUCAGUUUUUGUAUUGGAUCUAGAGAUAACAAUGGCUAAUCUUUUAAAACAAGGAAACAAAAGCUAUAUUGUCGAUAAAAUAAUAAGUGGAUUAUACAUAAAAAGGACUUUUAAAUAUGAACAUCUAAUUUUUAAUUUUUUUAAUUAAGAAUUAACCUUCCUCAGCAAUAAUGUAUUGAAUCAUAACUCCCUUAUUCUCAUGGAAUUAUGUUUACGCCUUGGGUAUAUAUGUUUUGCUUAUACAUUUUAUGGCGCUAGUAGCUGUCACUUUUAGCGUCAUUGUUUUAGCUGCCUAUUGAUGGUCGUGAUAAGAAUCUUCUUUCAAGAUUUGAUUACUAGUUGCAUUUCUUAACCAGGAGUUUUCUUUUUGUUCUCCAAAUUGGAAUGUUGUUCAUUCUUAUCAGUGGGCACAGAUACUAGAAAUUUUAAGAAAGAAAAUUAAAAAGAGGCACAUGUACAAAAUUACGUGAGUGAUGUAGAGUCAAAUAUGACUCUAGCUUCCUCUAUAAGUUUAAAUUUCAAACCCUUGAAUAUUAUGGGAAAAACCUGUUGCUAUGGAGUUGAUUCUGACUCACAGCGACCCUAUAGGACAGAGUAGAACUGCCCCAUAGGGUUUCCAAGGAGGGACUGGUGGAUUCAAACUGCCGACGUUUUGCUUAGGAGCUGAGCUAUGGGGGAAAAAAAAUGGGGAAAGGAGAGCUGAAUUCUAGGUGCUAAUCAAAUUGCUGCUUUGAGAAUCAAAAUGAUCUUUUGAUUAAGUUUUAACUACUCAGAAUUAGAAAGCUAUAGAAGAAUAAAUGAAUGGCAUACUCAUGAUAGAAUUUUUAGUUAUGUAUGGCUAGGGUGUUUCAAUACAACAAAACAAACACCCUAGCCAUACAUAAGUAAAAAUUCUUUCAUGAGAAUGGAAAGAGGAGCCCUAGUGGUGCAAUGUUUAAGCCCUUAGCUGCUAAUCAAAAGGUCAGCGGGUUGAAACUACCAGUGACUUUGAAGGAGAAAAAACCUGGAGAUCUGCUCCCAUAAGGAUUAUAGCCUUGGAAACCCAAAGGAGCAGCUCUAUUCUGUCCUGUAGGGUCGCUAUGUGCCAGAAGGGACUUGAUGACCCACAACAACAGGGUGUUUUACUAGAACAAUGAAGAGAACAAGGCACACAUGAUAGCAGAGAGUCUAGAAGCUCCUCUGAAACUUGUUCAGCAUCAUAGCCAACACUCAAGCUUCCACUGAGAGAUGGGUGGUGGCUGUGCAUUGGCCAGGAAUGAAAUCUGGGAAGGUGAGAAUUUGAUGACUGAAUCACCAAUACAACACCUCACAAAAUUAACAAUAAGAAAAAAAAAUAGAAGAUACUAAUUAAAAGCAACAGCCUGAAGACUUUAAUUUGAUCCUAUGUCAAUAUUUACAAAUCCACAACUAUUGCCUGCUUUGGACUUGAAAUGAGAUGUGUAAGAAUAUUUCUGUUUUGGUAAGUCUAGAUGACUUGCUUCUCGUUAUCCCAAUUCUAUUAAAAUUUUCAAAGGCAUUUUGUAUAUUAUUGAGAAUUAACAAAAAUUGUCGAACCAAAAUUUUAAUGCAAUUAGGGAAGAGGAUAACUAAGGAUGCUGAGGUUAAAAAAUCUUCUAUAGUAGAGAUUGGUGAUAAAAUAGUUAAUAAAGUAAAGCUGAGGUGAACCUAAACAUUUUCUUCCCUUUGCCAUUAGUUAUAACAUUUUGAUGUUCUUUUGUAAGUUUAAGAUUCUGAGAAGAAAAUGUGUUCCAGUAACCAGGAACACUGAAAGAGAAAAGUGAAUAAUAUCCUUAUGACUCAGUAGCUGGUAAUUUAAGUCCAUGGCCUAACUGGGAAAGUCAAUUUGCCUUUGAGAAGAAUUCAGCUUUAUUGGUAUCACAGGGGUUGAAGAUGGAGAUUGAGAAGCAGAAUUUUACCUGUGGGUAAAUCUUUCAUAUCCCAGCAUUCUUCAAGUGAGUACAGGCGGUUUUCUGCCUGCUCCGGGCAGAAGGUUAGUGAGAAGUAGAAAAUCGAGUUUAAUUGCAGGAAUUUCUUCCGCAUAUUCUCCCGGGGGAGGAAACAGUUUGUGAUGGUUUGAAAUCUCUAGUACAAGGGUUGAAUAAGAGCCAAUUUGAAGGAUCUUUUUAUAAUCACAUCAUGGAAAAAAGAGAAUUUCAAGCUUUGUGAAAUGUUUACCAACCAUUAGAGAUGUAGUGGUGGUGUAGGGGUUGGGAGGUACUAAAUACUAACUUACUCCCAUGUUUGUUUCUUUUUUAAAGUAUUCUUCUUAUGUCAUUUCUGACAAAUAAGUAAAGAUGAAAACUUUUUGCUUACUCCAAAUCCUGUGUGUUCUGGUAUAGAGAAAUCAUGAGCUAGGCACAUGGAAGUUUAUCUGGGAAAGACUACUUUCUUCUGCCCCCAUAUUGACAUUAUUCUCUUACCUUCUAUGAAAAUCCAUGAAUUUUCACUCCCCAUAUAACUUUUAUAGAUAUAUUGGAUUAUGUUUAAUAUUUAAAGUCAUAUUUAGCCUGUUCUUCUUAUGGUUUUCUGAAAGUAGACUAACCAGGGACUUGGUUACUUGAAUGGCGGGAUAGUAUAAAUAAAACACUUUCCUUAAGAUGUGAGAUCUAAUCCCUGAACCAUCCCUAAAACCCUUCUGAGUUUCAGUUUCCUUUUUAGUAAAAGGUGAAUAAAAAUUCCCACUCAAUACAUGAGACUAUGUGGGCAGCUCCUGUCUGGAGGUGAGAUGAGAAGGCAGAGGAGGACAGGAGCGGGUUGAAUGGACAUGGGAAAUACAGGGUGGAGAGAAGGAGUGUGCUGUCACGUUGUUGGGAGAGCAAUUUGGGUCAUAUAACAAUGUGUGUAUAAGUUUUUGUAUGAGAGACUGACUUGAACUGUAAACUUUCACCUAAAGCACACAAAAGUUAAAAAAAAAAUUCCUACAUUAUUUCUCAUGUGUUGUAGAAGUAAUUGGUGGGAGCAAAUGAAGUAAUGUAAAAAAAGGUUCUACAAAUAUAUUACUUUCUUUUUUCAAAACUGUAUUUCCUGGCAUCAUUAAAUUAAAUGUACAAAAAUAAAAUUUAUGCCUAGUUCUAUUCUAACAAUUCAAAUAUAGCACUUGUAGUUGCCCUGUUUAAAUCUUCUGAAGCCUGGCUCUACUUUCUCCAUUUCUACCGUAACUAAAUUACUAAGACAACUCUUAGGGAGAUAUGUACUAAAAUUUACAAAUACUGCAGAACAAUUACAAUUCUUUCAGGAGGAUGACCAAUAAAAUAUGGGAUCAAAGUACUCUCAAAUCCCAAAGUAAAUACAAACUUUUGUAGAGAGGAAGAUCCAUCAGGAAUAUGAAAGAACUAGAAAUGCUAAUGAGAUUUCAUGUGUCUUUUUUUUUGUAUCUACUUCCACAUUGCUGGUAUAGUGGUAGAAUUCUCGCCUUCCAUUCAGGAGACCCCAGUUUGAUUCCUGAGCAGUGCACCUCGUCCACAGCUACCACCCAUCCAUCUGUGGAGGCUUGCAUGUGCUAUGAUGCUGAACAGGUUCUAGCAGAGCUUCUAGACUAACAUGGACUGGGAAGAAAGGCCUGGUGAUCUACUUCCAAAAAUCAGCCAAUGAAAAUCCUGUGGAUCACAACGGUCAGAUCCAUAACCGAUCAUGCAGUGGUGCAGGGCUAGGCAGAGCUGCUUCUGUUGUGCAUGGAGUUGCUAUGAGUCAGGGUGGACUCCACUGCAGCUAACCACAACAGCAGUGAUGAAAAUAUGAGUCAGACUGUCUAGGUUCCAACUCCAUCUCCACGCUUACACCUGUAUGAAUAUAUACAAAUCAAAUAAUAUCCUGAAUCUCCGCUGCCCGUCGGAGCAAUAAAACCAAUAACGGCAACUGCUUCAUAGAGAUGUGAGAAUUAAAUAUUACCCAUAUAAAUCCUUUGUGUGUCUUCCAUAUAAUAAUAAUUCACAUUUAUUUAAGUCUUACCAUGCUUAUCACUACUUAUCUUCAAUAGUGAGAUCCUAGAUAUAGCCAUGAUAUUUUCAAUCACCUUAUAUGCAUGUGAAAGCUCAACAAUGAAUAAGUAAGAAUGAAGAAUUGAUGCAUUUGAAUUAUGGUGUUGACCAAGAAUAAUAUACUAUGGACUUCCAGAAGAAUGAACAAAUCUGUCUUGGAAGAAUCAGUACAGUCAGAAUGCUCCUUAGAAGUGAGGAUGGUGAGACUUUGUCUCACAUACUUUGGACGUGUUAUCAGGAGGUACCAGUCCCUGGAGAAGGACAUCAUCAUGCUUGGUAAAGUAGAGGGUCAGCAAAAAAGAGGAAGACCCUCAAUGAGUUGGAUGACACAGCGGUUGCAACAAUGGGCUUAAGCAUAGCAAGGAUUGUGAGGAUGGUACAGGACUGGGCAGUGUUUCAUUCUGUUGUACAUAGGGUCUCUAUGAGUCAGAACUGACUCGACAGCACCUAGCAACAACAGGUAUACAUGGUCUAAAGGUGUUUAUUACUACACAGCUCUAAAAUUAACGCAUACAGGCAAUGAAUGCUAAAGAGAUAAAGGCAACCCAGCCAGCUGUGGCAAAAAGAAUUGGAAAAUCCACUUUAACUAACCAUGUAGCAUACAUACAGCACCCGUAUAUUUUAUCGGUUUAGCACAAAGAAGUCAGAAGUCAAUCAGAACGUGAACCUGGAAGAAAGCUCAAUAUAACCAGGUCCAUAAUCUUACUCUCCAGAAUCAAAGACAGACUUGAAUUACAGGCAGCGUGCAGAAAGGAGUAUUUGCCAGUCUCUGAAUCAGUGUCGGUUCCUAAGGUUUCCCUAACAUCCCUUUUGAAUACAGCUCCCUUCAAAUAUGUAUUUCUUAUCUCUAAGAUUUAUGGAUACAGUUUUCAUUACUGCAUUUCAGUUCAUA
Molecule: long non-coding RNA, 5047 nt
Organism: Loxodonta africana (African savanna elephant)
Lineage: Eukaryota; Metazoa; Chordata; Mammalia; Proboscidea; Elephantidae
Exons: 2
Source: RefSeq, a predicted model, not a curated record